Molecule: ribosomal RNA, 724 nt
Filed under: uncultured bacterium
Lineage: Bacteria
Description: bacterial SSU rRNA
Rfam family: Bacterial small subunit ribosomal RNA
Source: RNAcentral
UUAUUCCCAAUUCCCUUGAGUUGAUCUGGCUCGGACGAACGCUGGCGGCGUGCUUAACACAUGCAAGUCGAGGGGGCAGUCGGGGCAACCCGGCUGUCACCGGCGAACGGGUGCGUAACACGUGAGCGACCUGCCCGUCUGCGGGGGAUAGCCGGCCCAACGGCCGGGUAAUACCGCAUACGCCACCGGGGGGGCAUCCCUCGGGUGGGAAACUUCUGGGGCGGACAGAGGGGCUCGCGGCCUAUCAGCUAGUUGGCGGGGUAACGGCCCACCAAGGCGAUGACGGGUAGCUGGUCUGAGAGGAUGGCCAGCCACAUUGGGACUGAGAGACGGCCCAGACUCCUACGGGAGGCAGCAGUGGGGAAUCUUGCGCAAUGGCCGAAAGGCUGACGCAGCGACGCCGCGUGGGGGAUGAAGGCCUUCGGGUUGUAAACCCCUGUUGCCCGGGACGAACCGCCCCUUUCGAGGGGCCUGACGGUACCGGGUGAGGAAGCACCGGCUAACUCUGUGCCAGCAGCCGCGGUAAUACAGAGGGUGCGAGCGUUGUCCGGAAUCACUGGGCGUAAAGGGCGCGUAGGCGGUCUCUUAAGCGUGUGGUGAAAGCCCGGGGCUCAACUCCGGGUCGGCCGUGCGAACUGGGGGACUGGAGCUUGUCAGAGGCAUGCGGAAUUCCGGGUGUAGCGGUGGAAUGCGUAGAGAUCCGGAAGAACACCGUGGCGAAGGC